RNAcentral lists this RNase P RNA (413 nucleotides) under Patescibacteria group bacterium. RNAcentral describes it as "RNase P RNA component class A". It matches the Rfam family "Bacterial RNase P class A". Rfam says of the family: Ribonuclease P (RNase P) is a ubiquitous endoribonuclease, found in archaea, bacteria and eukarya as well as chloroplasts and mitochondria. Its best characterised activity is the generation of mature 5'-ends of tRNAs by cleaving the 5'-leader elements of precursor-tRNAs. The record is from RNAcentral.
UCACUCAACCGGAUGAUCGCCCCCGCAACGCGGGGGAGGAAAGUCCGAGCACCAUGCUCCCAAUUGAUUGGAGCAAGGGCAGUUCGUAACACGAACCAUCCCGCCAUAAAGGCGGGAGCGGGAAAGUAGCACAGAAACAAAACCGCUUCUUUCAAAUUUUGUCGCUUGAUUUAUCAAGCGCUUACGGCAAAAUUAAGAUGCAAGGGUGAAAAGAGUGGGGUAAGAGCCCACAGCUUGGAGUAGUGAUGCUCCAAGGUGCUAAACCCUGCCUGGUGUAAGGCCAAGUAGGCCUCCUGUAACACGGGAGGCGGGUUGGCUGCUUGAACCCCCGCGUAAGCGGGGGUCCAGAGAGAUGAUCGUCACUCCGACGUUCAAUCGGAGUACAGAACUCGGCUUAUAGGUUGAGUGAGCAA